AGGUUUGCGUUGACCAGCUCACAGCUACAAGACGUGUCAAAUCCUCGUCCCGUUCUCCGAUCUGUCGACUCCUUGAUCCAGGUGUGGUGGCGGGACU
Molecule: long non-coding RNA, 97 nt
Organism: Amblyraja radiata (thorny skate)
Lineage: Eukaryota; Metazoa; Chordata; Chondrichthyes; Rajiformes; Rajidae
Exons: 3
Source: RefSeq, a predicted model, not a curated record